RNAcentral lists this ribosomal RNA (749 nucleotides) under uncultured bacterium. Its description in RNAcentral is "bacterial SSU rRNA". It matches the Rfam family "Bacterial small subunit ribosomal RNA", at positions 54 to 789 of the family's 1533-position model. The record is from RNAcentral.
CAUGCAGUCGAACGGUAACAGAGAGAAGCUUGCUUCUCUGCUGACGAGUGGCGAACGGGUGAGUAAUAUAUCGGAACGUACCGUAUUGUGGGGGAUAACUAGUCGAAAGAUUAGCUAAUACCGCAUACGCCCUGAGGGGGAAAGUAGGGGAUCUUCGGACCUUACGCAGAACGAGCGGCCGAUAUCUGAUUAGCUAGUUGGUGGGGUAAAGGCCCACCAAGGCGACGAUCAGUAGCUGGUCUGAGAGGACGACCAGCCACACUGGAACUGAGACACGGUCCAGACUCCUACGGGAGGCAGCAGUGGGGAAUUUUGGACAAUGGGCGAAAGCCUGAUCCAGCCAUGCCGCGUGAGUGAAGAAGGCCUUCGGGUUGUAAAGCUCUUUCGCAAGGAAAGAAAACUUAUUCGCUAAUACCGGGUGAGGAUGACGGUACCUUGAUAAGAAGCACCGGCUAACUACGUGCCGGCAGCCGCGGUAAUACGUAGGGUGCGAGCGUUAAUCGGAAUUACUGGGCGUAAAGCGAGCGCAGGCGGUUUUGUAAGUCAGAUGUGAAAGCCCCGGGCUCAACCUGGGAACUGCGUUUGAAACUGCAAGGCUAGAGUAUGGGAGAGGGGGGUAGAAUUCCACGUGUAGCAGUGAAAUGCGUAGAGAUGUGGAGGAAUACCCAAUGGCGAAGGCAGCCCCCUGGCCUAAUACUGACGCUCAUGCUCGAAAAGCGUGGGGAGCAAACANGGAUUUAGAUACCCUG